UCUUAUAAAUUAAGACUGGAAUGAAUGGAUAAAUGGGGCAAUUCUUUCUUAGGUUAAAAAUUAAAAAUAAUCUUUUUAGUGAAGAGACUAAAAUGAGAUUGAGGGACGAGAAGACCCUAUUAAGCUUAAUAUAAUUAUUAUGUUGGGGAAACAAAAGAGUAUAUUUUCUUUUAAAAUAUUUUUUGAUAAAUGUUGAUUUAUUAUUAAUAAUGAUAGAAUAAGUUACUAUAGGGAUAACAGCAUAAUUUUUUUUAAAAGUUCUUAUUUACAAAGAAGAUUAUGACCUCGAUGUUGGAUUAGAAAUAUUAUAUGGUGAAGUUGUUGUAUAAAUUAGUCUGUUCGACUAUUAAAUUUCUA
Molecule: ribosomal RNA, 357 nt
Filed under: Epiperipatus broadwayi
Lineage: Eukaryota; Metazoa; Onychophora; Udeonychophora; Euonychophora; Peripatidae
Description: partial 16S ribosomal RNA
Rfam family: Bacterial large subunit ribosomal RNA (bases 233-357)
Source: RNAcentral